UAGGGAAUCUUCCACAAUGGACGCAAGUCUGAUGGAGCAACGCCGCGUGAGUGAAGAAGGUUUUCGGAUCGUAAAGCUCUGUUGUUGGUGAAGAAGGAUAGAGGCAGUAACUGGUCUUUAUUUGACGGUAAUCAACCAGAAAGUCACGGCUAACUACGUGCCAGCAGCCGCGGUAAUACGUAGGUGGCAAGCGUUGUCCGGAUUUAUUGGGCGUAAAGCGAGCGCAGGCGGAAUGAUAAGUCUGAUGUGAAAGCCCACGGCUCAACCGUGGAACUGCAUCAGAAACUGUCAUUCUUGAGUGCAGAAGAGGAGAGUGGAAUUCCAUGUGUAGCGGUGGAAUGCGUAGAUAUAUGGAAGAACACCAGUGGCGAAGGCGGCUCUCUGGUCUGCAACUGACGCUGAGGCUCGAAAGCAUGGGUAGCGAACAGG
RNAcentral lists this ribosomal RNA (429 nucleotides) under bacterium. RNAcentral's name for it is "partial 16S ribosomal RNA". It matches the Rfam family "Bacterial small subunit ribosomal RNA", at positions 355 to 776 of the family's 1533-position model. The record is from RNAcentral.